UUUUAUAGUGCUGUCAGUCAGACUUUAGACUCCUAACAGCAGUCUAAUCUCUGCUCCUCUUUCUCCAGGUUCCCAGCAGCCCCGCGUGGUGGAAGGGGGUGCCCAUAACCCUGUAUCCCGGCUCCCCGCAGAUGACCCAGUGGUCCGCAUGCCGGACGUUCAGAGGAGCGUGGGAAACACGGCAAUGAAGAUGGCCUCCCUCUCAAUCCUCCUCACCCUGCUUCCCGGGCUCUGCCUGUUUCUGCUGUGAGGACUACAAGUCCCAGAGACACUGAAGUGGACUACAAAUAUGGUGGCCCGGGUAGGCCUGUAGCUGGCUGCCCCCCCACUUUUUGCCUGACCGGUGCUGGACACCGGGGAGAGAUCACUCUCAACGGGGAGAGUGCAAGAGCCAUUUUUUUUAAAAAAACUUUAUAUAUAAAACAAAUUUACUGAAGAACUGAGGCCUGUGACGCUUCUUAGUGAAUGCCUGGAGCAUAGGAAGUGUGCAGCGCACAGACGUGGGACUGGCGGAGACCCCCAAUUCUAACUCCGAGGUGUCUUGCAGCUGACACUCGACAACCUGCCUGCAAGCUGCGCCCCAAAACUACAGGACACUAAAGAGACAACUGUGGCUCCAUGUCUGUGGGUCUGAACUGCAGGUGUCUGUGGCGCCCGUAGAGAUGUGGGGUUGACGUUGCUGCUGUUGUUCACUGGGGGGGGGGUUAGUCUCGAUCCUGACGGGGAGCUGGUCUCCCCACUGUAGCACCUUCCACCACCAACCCCCUUCCCCCAGAUACAGGCGGACAGUGUGCUCAGCGCCGCCCCCUGCUGCUCCAGCGCCGACAUGACGCACGACUCGCCUGACUGCGUGGUGGGGGGCGGGGUCAGGAGGGGGACUCUGGCCAAUCCGCUGCAGAGCUCCGACACGACCUCGCACCUCGAUCGCCCCGCCGAUCAAUGAAGUGACUGACGAGCGGGCAGGCGCUGGGGACGGAGAGACGUUAACGAGCCAAUUAAGUGCUGGAAUGGGUUUGGCUGAUUGCCGUACACAGAGCAGUGGAUCGGGGGGGGGGGGUGUUCUGUGCAUUUUGCCGUUUUUCCCAUUUUAAAGUUGAUCGUCUCCCAGUCGGCGGUUCUGGCGGUCCUGGCAGGACCCGGCCCGUUCUCUCACACCCGGGCCAGACUGGCGGUCUGGCUGCUUUGUUCUCAAGAUUUUUCUCUUUUGUUUCCGUUUCUGUACAGGUGUAUGUAAGACUGUAAAGUAAAAACUGAAUUGUACAUAGGAGUAUAUAAAAGCCAAUGUCUGAUCAUUGAAACCUUGCUUCCGAAAGUGAAUAAAAUGUUUCUACCAAUGGGA
Molecule: non-coding RNA, 1339 nt
Organism: Lepisosteus oculatus (spotted gar)
Lineage: Eukaryota; Metazoa; Chordata; Actinopteri; Semionotiformes; Lepisosteidae
Source: RefSeq, a predicted model, not a curated record